UACGUAGGGUGCAAGCGUUGUCCGGAAUUAUUGGGCGUAAAGAGCGUGUAGGCGGCCCGAUUAGUCCGCUGUGAAAGUCCAGGGCUCAACCCUGGAAUGCCGGUGGAUACUGUCGGGCUAGAGUCCGGAAGGGGCGAGUGGAAUUCCUGGUGUAGCGGUGAAAUGCGCAGAUAUCAGGAGGAACACCAAUGGCGAAGGCAGCUCGCUGGGACGGUACUGACGCUGAGACGCGAAAGCGUGGGGAGCAAACAGG
RNAcentral lists this ribosomal RNA (253 nucleotides) under uncultured bacterium. Its description in RNAcentral is "partial 16S ribosomal RNA". It matches the Rfam family "Bacterial small subunit ribosomal RNA", at positions 524 to 776 of the family's 1533-position model. The record is from RNAcentral.